This 1652-nucleotide ribosomal RNA is filed under the name metagenome. RNAcentral describes it as "bacterial LSU rRNA". It matches the Rfam family "Bacterial large subunit ribosomal RNA", at positions 1244 to 2925 of the family's 2925-position model. The record is from RNAcentral.
GAAGCGACGAAGCAGGACCGAAAGGAGCUGUGGAGUUUCAGGAAGAGAGAAUGCCGGAAUGAGUAGCGAGAGAAAGGUGAGAAUCCUUUCGGCCGAAUAUCCAAGGUUUCCAGGGUAAAGCUGAUCUGCCCUGGGUAAGUCGGGGCCUAAGGCGAGGCAGAAAUGCGUAGUCGAUGGACAGCAGGUUGAGAUUCCUGCACCCGUAAUGAACAGAAUUGUAGUGACACGGAAGGUAAGACAGAGCCGGGAAUGAGAAAACCGGUGCAAGCACAAUAGAUGUGCGGGAGGAAAAUCCCUCGCAUAAGUCGAAGGUGUGACGCGGACCGAAAAAGAGUAGGGAAGCUGUUAAGCAAGCCGUCAAGAAAAGCUGCUAUUGUUUCAUUAUGGCCCGUACCGUAAACCGACACAGGUGGAUGGGGAGAGAAUCCUAAGGCCGGCGGAAGAAGUAUUGUUAAGGAACUCGGCAAAAUGACCCCGUAACUUCGGGAGAAGGGGUGCCUGCGAGAGCAGGCCGCAGAGGAGAGGCCCAAGCAACUGUUUAGCAAAAACACAGGUCUAUGCAAAACCGAAAGGUGAGGUAUAUGGGCUGACGCCUGCCCGGUGCUGGAAGGUUAAGGGGAGUGGUCAGGAAACGAAGCCACGAACUUAAGCCCCAGUAAACGGCGGCCGUAACAAUAACGGUCCUAAGGUAGCGAAAUUCCUUGUCGGGUAAGUUCCGACCCGCACGAAAGGCGUAAUGAUUUGGGCGCUGUCUCGACAAUACAUCCGGUGAAAUUGAAGUGCCAGUGAAGAUGCUGGCUACCUGCGCCAGGACGGAAAGCCCCCAUGGAGCUUUACUCCAGCUUGAUACUGGGACCCGGUAUUGCAUGUACAGGAUAGGUGGGAGGCUAGGAAAUGUGGACGCCAGUCUGCAUGGAGCCGCUGUUGGGAUACCACCCUUGUGGUGCUGGGUUUCUAACCAGAGGCCGUGAACCGGUCUGGGGACAAUGUCAGGUGGGGAGUUUGACUGGGGCGGUCGCCUCCGAAAGGGUAUCGGAGGCGCCCAAAGGUUCCCUCAGAAUGGUUGGAAACCAUUCGAAGAGUGCAAAGGCAGAAGGGAGCUUGACUGCGACACCGACGGGUGGAGCAGGUACGAAAGUAGGGCUUAGUGAUCCGGUGGAAUUUGAGUGGGAAUGCCAUCGCUCAACGGAUAAAAGCUACCCUUGGGAUAACAGGCUGAUCACUCCCAAGAGUUCACAUCGACGGAGUGGUUUGGCACCUUGAUGUCGGCUCAUCGCAUCCUGGGGCUGAAGUCGGUCCCAAGGGUUGGGCUGUUCGCCCAUUAAAGCGGUACGCGAGCUGGGUUCAGAACGUCGUGAGACAGUUCGGUCCCUAUCCGGCGUGGGCGUAGGAUAUCUGAGAGGAGCUGUCCUUAGUACGAGAGGACCGGGAUGGACUGACCUCUGGUGUACCGGUUGGCGAUCAACGCCACGGCCGGGUAGCCGUGUCGGGACGGGAUAAACGCUGAAGGCAUCUAAGCGUGAAGCCCCCCUCAAGAUGAGAUAUCCCAUCGUAAGAGUAAGACCCCUUGAAGACGACGAGGUUGAUAGGGCAGGGGUGGAAGUGCUGUAAAGCAUGGAGCUGACUGCUACUAAUCGGUCGAGGGCUUGACC